This is a long non-coding RNA of Oryzias melastigma (Indian medaka), 919 nucleotides long. RefSeq lists it as uncharacterized. The record is from RefSeq and is a predicted model, not a curated record. NCBI's taxonomy places the organism in Eukaryota, Metazoa, Chordata, Actinopteri, Beloniformes, Adrianichthyidae. The transcript is spliced from 2 exons.
CGACUGAGCACGCUGAGGUGUAUUUAUACCAGACUGACAGUGGACGCUGCGUCAUGUAACUGUCCCGGCGCACACACGCCCACCUGCUCCCAAAUCCUGAUACUCAACACCCCCACCAGUGCCAAAAUCCUGGGACUGUUAAGCAGGGGGCCUUGUCGGCGUGGUGUGUCUGUGGCGACUGAUACAGGCCUUGGGCGAGGGCCUCAGAGGAUCCUAUAAAAGAAACAACAAAAAUGUCACAGACAGUCUCGGAGAAGAGCCGUCAUUACUGCCGGCAUGCUCCAUAAAUCCACACGAGCGGCCAUGAAAGUGCUCACCCUACACCAGCUCAUUAAAGACCUGCACAUUAAAGGAGGCUUUACAUUAUUUCUGUAAAAUAAAGAGCCAUCAAACACAGAUGUUGCAUGUUAUUCCAAAAAUGCUGCUUUGAACGAUCGUUAUUUAGACAUCCUCCUCCUCUAAAUCGCCUCUCGGCUAAUGACAGCAACAGUAAAAGUCUGCAGAGUUUAUCAAAUGGUUUGUCCGUCUGGUUGGACUCACAGAAGCCCAGAAGGAGAAUAUUUAUGCUUUGUGUUAUGACCUGUGUUAAUUACGGCUGCACGGAAAAGUGUGAGCUUGGAUAACAACACCAUUAAAAACACGGAGGUUCUGAGGGAAACGGGGAGGAAACAAGCAGAGAGCUGUGAGGCUCCAGUCACUGUAAAAGACAUGUCACGUUUCAAACCCUUGGUGUGCAGAGAUACAUUGUACACAGCAUGAGAACUUCUAAUCAGCGCACACCUAAACAAACAGGACAGCGGGGAUUCGGCUCCGUGGAAACUUCUCUCUGUGAGAAAAUCAAACCUGCGUGCUGCAGAAAAUUUGCCUCUGGGCUAUUUUUUUUUUCUUUUUUGGUUCAUUUAUAGAAGCAGGCUUUAAA